Molecule: transfer RNA, 68 nt
Filed under: Littorina saxatilis
Lineage: Eukaryota; Metazoa; Mollusca; Gastropoda; Littorinimorpha; Littorinidae
Description: transfer RNA-Val
Source: RNAcentral
AAAACCGUAGCAUAAAUAAAUGCGUUUCAUUUACACUGAAAAUAUAUUCUAAAUCUGAGUCGAUUUUA